Molecule: ribosomal RNA, 468 nt
Filed under: uncultured bacterium
Lineage: Bacteria
Description: partial 16S ribosomal RNA
Rfam family: Bacterial small subunit ribosomal RNA
Source: RNAcentral
GACGAACGCUGGCGGCGUGCUUAACACAUGCAAGUCGAACGGAAAGGCCCUGCUUUUGUGGGGUGCUCGAGUGGCGAACGGGUGAGUAACACGUGAGUAACCUGCCCUUGACUUUGGGAUAACUUCAGGAAACUGGGGCUAAUACCGGAUAGGAGCUCCUGCUGCAUGGUGGGGGUUGGAAAGUUUCGGCGGUUGGGGAUGGACUCGCGGCUUAUCAGCUUGUUGGUGGGGUAGUGGCUUACCAAGGCUUUGACGGGUAGCCGGCCUGAGCGGGUGACCGGCGACAUUGGGACUGAGGUACGGCCCAGACUGCUACGUUAGGCAGCAGUGGGGAAUAUUGCACAAUGAGCGGAAGCGUGAUACAGCAGCGCCGCGAGCGUGAUGACGGCCUUCGAGUUGUAAACCGCUUUCGCCUGUGACGAAGCGUGAGUGACGGUAAUGGGUAAAGAAGCAACGGCUAACUACGUG